AACGAACGCUGGCGGCAUGCCUAACACAUGCAAGUCGAACGAUGCCUUCGGGCAUAGUGGCGCACGGGUGCGUAACGCGUGGGAAUCUGCCUUUCGGUUCGGAAUAACUCAGGGAAACUUGAGCUAAUACCGGAUAACGUCGCAAGACCAAAGAUUUAUCACCGAAAGAUGAGCCCGCGUAGGAUUAGCUAGUUGGUGAGGUAAAGGCUCACCAAGGCGACGAUCCUUAGCUGGUCUGAGAGGAUGAUCAGCCACACUGGGACUGAGACACGGCCCAGACUCCUACGGGAGGAAGCAGUGGGGAAUAUUGGACAAUGGGCGAAAGCCUGAUCCAGCAAUGCCGCGUGAGUGAUGAAGGCCUUAGGGUUGUAAAGCUCUUUUACCCGGGAAGAUAAUGACGGUACCGGGAGAAUAAGCCCCGGCUAACUCCGUG
This 433-nucleotide ribosomal RNA is filed under the name uncultured bacterium. RNAcentral's name for it is "partial 16S ribosomal RNA". It matches the Rfam family "Bacterial small subunit ribosomal RNA", at positions 29 to 507 of the family's 1533-position model. The record is from RNAcentral.